Lagopus muta (rock ptarmigan) is the source of this 1640-nucleotide long non-coding RNA. RefSeq lists it as uncharacterized. The transcript is spliced from 5 exons. The record is from RefSeq and is a predicted model, not a curated record. NCBI's taxonomy places the organism in Eukaryota, Metazoa, Chordata, Aves, Galliformes, Phasianidae.
UAAGGGUUGGCUGUGAGAAGGGGAGGAUUUCUAUAUGGAGAUCUCUCUUCUUGGAUUAUUUAGUUAACAUCCAUUCUAAGGAUGGAUUUAAACUAGGACCUGUUUAUCACUGAAGAGAAGUGCCCAUCUGAGGUUCUUCCUAACAGCACAGGAGGCAGAGACAAGAUUUCCAAAGAACCAUUCAGUACAAGCACUUUGAAACUACCUAUUAGCCAACAGAUUUCACUGCAACAGACCUAGGUAAAUUCUCAGUUAUGAAGAGCAAUAAGAACUGCAGAAGAGGCAAUGUAAAGUUUUUACAAACAAGUUUUUGAAAUAAGAUGCUUCUAGAUCAGGAGCACAUUGAAAGCACAUUUAAAUCCUCCUGAAAUCUCUAAGCCAGUGCUUAAGUGCUUUUUGAAAUCAAGACUGAGCUACUGAUGCAGAGCGAGAUGAAAGCCUUGGGUGCUGGGAGACAUUUUGCAGUAUUCACCAGGUGCUCACUCAAAAACCCAGAAACCAGGCAGAGGCUUUGGGAGGCCCCACUCAUGUCUCAUCAGAAAAAUGUAUUCACAUGGGGCCCAUGCAACUCAAACUCAGCUGCCCCAUGGCGUUGCUGCACACAGUAGAGAGGCUGCAGCCAAACAGUUUGUAAUGUCAAAGAUGGAUACUUGCACAGUGGGCAGGUGGUAGACCCAAGAGAGAAAUCCAGGAUGAAUGUUUCCUUGUAUUCACUGAGAACUUCAUUUAUGACAGAUUACUUGCUCUUCAUUUUUUCAUUUAAAAAUUAUCCCUGUGCUAUCAUUGCCUACGCAGGAACACAUCACUUCUUAACUGCUUUGACAAAGCGCUGUAAUGUCAGUGCAUCAGCAGAGGAGGAAGUGCUACUUCUGGGUAAAAUUCAGCUUACGAUGGAAGAGUCACAAUGCUAAUGAUGGAACCAGAAAAUAAUUUGAAGCUUUUUGCCGAGUGUGUUUGUUUCAAAAACAAAAUCCCCAUCAAAUCCUAAGGGAGUCAAGCAACACUUCCUCCCCUAGAUUUUAAUAUAAACCUUGGCAGGGGUAAAGUCUGGAUGGCUAAAGCAAGUACAGGAAAAUUCUAAUUCAGUAGGAGAUAGAAAAUAAACAACAACAACAAACUGACGUCAUUGCUGAGAGAGCGGAUAUCUGAUACAGCUGCUGCUCUUUCAAGAACUACUUAGAAACAUGUUGACUACUUUUCUUUGGAAAAUAUUUCAAUGAGAAUAUAUAAAAAAACUUGUUUUCCUCCUUUACUUCCUUCCUUCCUUCUUUCUUCUGCCACAAUGUAACCUACUGUAAAAGAAUGAAAAAGCACAGAUGAAUCUCACGUCAGCCAAACUCUGCCACAAGUGAUUGUGCUUCUCCCUGUUCCUGCUUCAGACAUACUGAUGUUAUGAAUGAAUUAACCAAGGGACAUAAUACUUCAUUGCCAACUGAGAGCGAAUCCUUGAAGUUUAGUGCUAUUAACACUUAAAAUGUUUCAGUUGGAUCUCAAACCAAAAUGUGCAGAAGAAUUGUUACCACUGAAGGAGUUGGAUUUUUUAUCAAGGAGGAGUCUCAUGAUUCCUUUGCUCCAGGGAAAUUUAAAUGAAGAAACAUUCAGUUUGGAGGUUUGCCUGUUCUACUUGGAAAAUGUUAAAA